AUUUAAAUAGCUUAAUUAAGAGCAUUAUAUUGAAGAUAUAAAGGUAAAAUUAUUUUUUUUAAAUAUA
RNAcentral lists this transfer RNA (67 nucleotides) under Myzus persicae (green peach aphid). RNAcentral's name for it is "tRNA-Phe". The record is from RNAcentral. Lineage: Eukaryota; Metazoa; Arthropoda; Insecta; Hemiptera; Aphididae.